UUUUCACUUUCUCCAAAAACAUCCAGAUCUCCAAAUCUGGAGAAAAUAUUUCAAACCCCACACACAAUCUUAAAUCCCAUAUCUCCUAAAAUUUAUUUCCCCCCCAAAUUUCUAACACCCUACCUACGAAUCCAACCUCUGCCCUUGUCCUGGUGAAUCGUCAAGAGCCGCGAACCACUCCGCCAUGGACCAUCUCGCAAGACAUCCGAUCCCUCGCCGAAGUUGUGCCUGAAGGUUGUACAUCAGCCAGUGGCAUGCAAUGAAGUUCGUGGACAACACAGCUACGAGCUCCCGCGCGUUUCCUGUCCGAGGAACUGCCGCCCCUCGGUGAUGUUCUGUCGCACUGGAAAAAUGAUAUAGGAUGAAAGAAUCAUGGACAAAGAAACAAUCUGAAGGUGAUUCUGAGAUUUCAGCAUGGGAUAGUAAAAGUCGCAAGUUAGAGAAGAAUAGAGCAUUGUAGCUCUCAAAGAUUUUUGAGGAGCAUGUUUUUUCCCCUUUUAUGUUGUACCUAUAUUUUAUGAUCUUUAAGACACUGUUUCUCCCAGUUUAAAUAUGUAAUCAUUACAACAUGCUAAAAAUUUCACUUGACAAAAUUGUAAUAUAGGGAAGUGAAAAUUGCAGUAGAGGGAAGUGAUGAUGAGGAUACAGCCCAACACACUAGUAUGUGUUGCAUUGCAAGCCUCUUACUUACAUUUGAACUUCUCUGGCUUCAUUUGCUUGUGCGCGAAGAAUGGAAAAAUGCAAACGCAGAAGUUGAAGAUGUCCACAUACAUGAUGUGCGAGAUUCUGGACCAAAUUGGAGCUAUUAAAGAAAUAUGUGAAGCACUUUCGUUGAGAUGGAGCGUAGUGUUGUUAGUUUGAACAUGUUUUUGUCUUUUUUUGUUUGUUUUUUUGUAUAUAGAUUCAAGUUUAAUUUUAAGGAGCCUAGUAUAGAUAUAAUACUUUUUGGAUAUGUAAAUAGGUCUGAUAUAUCAUAUUUGGAAUUAAUUUGUA
Molecule: long non-coding RNA, 993 nt
Organism: Vigna unguiculata (cowpea)
Lineage: Eukaryota; Viridiplantae; Streptophyta; Magnoliopsida; Fabales; Fabaceae
Source: RefSeq, a predicted model, not a curated record